Molecule: long non-coding RNA, 334 nt
Filed under: Capsella rubella
Lineage: Eukaryota; Viridiplantae; Streptophyta; Magnoliopsida; Brassicales; Brassicaceae
Description: long non-coding RNA (CRUB_LNC001517)
Source: RNAcentral
AUGUAAAGCACAAUUGUUAUCAAUGUUAAGGCUUUGUUAAUAGACUUACAAACUGAAAUCUUAAGGCCCAAUUACAUAUUAUAUUUUAGUAAUUGCAAGAAUGGCCCAAUUUAAGACCCAAACUACUUUUUUUUUUUUUUGGUCAAAGACCCAAAUUACUUAACCUGUGUUUUUACUAAUCGUCGGCUGAAUUGCACCAUCUUACUAGAACAAUUUCUUUUAAAUUUGUUCUUCUUAGUUGAAAUACAAUCCAAAACACAAAGAUUGAUUUGAAUGAGUCCGAUUCAAGAUCAUAUCAAACUUCAAACCCAAACCUUAAAAUAUCUACUUUUUG